This 1114-nucleotide long non-coding RNA is filed under the name Salmo salar (Atlantic salmon). RNAcentral's name for it is "lncRNA (ENSSSAG00000085454.1)". The record is from RNAcentral. Lineage: Eukaryota; Metazoa; Chordata; Actinopteri; Salmoniformes; Salmonidae.
ACGGCCCAGUACAUCACUGGGGCCAAGCUUCCUGCCAUCCAGGACUUCUAUACCAGACUGUUCUCUCUGCUACCGCACGGCAAGCGGUACCGGAGCGCCAAGUCUAGGUCCAAGAGGCUUCUAAACAGCUUCUACCCCCAAGCCAUUAGACUCCUGAACACCUAAUCAAAUGGCUACCCAACUAUUUGCAUUGCCUCUCCCCCUCUUUUACACCGCUGCUACUCUCUGUUGUUAUCAUCUAUGCAUUGUCACUUUAAUAACUCUACCUACAUGUACAUAUUACCUCAACUAACCGGUUCCCCUGCACAUUGACUCUGUACCGGUACCCCCCUGUAUAUAGUCUCGCUAUUGUUAUUUUAAUGCUGCUAUUUAAUUACUUGUUACUUUAUUUCUUAUUCUUAUCCGUUUUUUUUUUUUUUUUUACUGCAUUGUUGGUUAGGGGCUCUUAAGUAAGAAUUUCACUGUAAGGUCUACACCUGUUGUAUUUGGCGCAUGUGACUAAUAAAAUUUGAUUUGAUUUGACAUUCAAUAACUGCAGGUGGCAGUAAGUGGCAAUUUUGAAUCUGCACACGCUCUAUCACUGUCACAUGCUGUAACAAGAGCCUGGAUGGUGACACAUCUGCUUCAAGUUGCCUGACUGAAUACGUGGGCUGUCGUAGAAAUAUUCGUCCAAUAAUAUUUCUCAGAUACCGGAACUUGUGAAUUCAAGGCAUGCAUCUGGAUUACAAUGUGUGUCUAUGUAACGGUCUUCGUCGUCCUAGGAUGAAGGGGAAGAGAAAUCAGACCAAAAUGCAGCGUGGGAACUGUCUGCUGAUAGCUGACAACAUGGUGGCAGUUUUGCUAUAGUGCUCCAGACUUCCAUGGCCGAGGCUCCUCUGGUUUUGACCUUUUGCCUGUCCACGACCCUUCUCUUGCCUACCCUUUUGGAAUAUAAUACAUAUCAAACACUCUGAAUCUGGGUCUUGCCCUGAGCCCUUAAAAUUAGGCCAUAUAUUUUUGUUAUUGUGAAAGAUGCUGUUAAGUCUCAUAGCCUACCUCAGUCUGUUAUUAAGUUAUUUUAUAUAGGCCUAUGCUUGGAAAUAAAUAUACUACAACUAAACCCUCUUGUGAAGUC